UGACGCUGGCGGAAUGCUUUACACACGCAGUCGAACGGCAGCACGGACUUCGGUCUGGUGGCGAGUGGCGAACGGGUGAGUAUACAUCGGAACGUGCCCAGUCGUGGGGGAUAACGUAGCGAAAGCUACGCUAAUACCGCAUACGAUCUAAGGAUGAAAGCGGGGGAUCGCAAGACCUCGCGCGAUUGGAGCAGCCGAUGGCAGAUUAGUAGUUGGUAGGGUAAAGGCCUACCAAGCCGACGAUCUGUAGCUGGUCUGAGAGGACGACCAGCCACACUGGGACUGAGACACGGCCAGACUCCUACGGGAGGCAGCAGUGGGGAAUUUUGGACAAUGGGCGAAAGCCUGAUCCAGCCAUUCCGCGUGCAGGAUGAAGGCCCUCGGGUUGUAAACUGCAUUUUGUACGGAACGAAAAGGUCCUGGUUAAUACCUGAGGCUCAUGACGGUACCAGUAAGAAUAAGCACCGGCUAACUACAUGCCAGCAGACCGCGGUAAUACGUAGAGGUGCAAGCGUAAAUCGGAAUUACUGGGCGUAAAGCGUGCGCACGUGCGGUGAUGUAAGACAGAGGUGAAAUCCCCGGGGCUCAACCCUU
Molecule: ribosomal RNA, 594 nt
Filed under: uncultured beta proteobacterium
Lineage: Bacteria; Pseudomonadati; Pseudomonadota; Betaproteobacteria
Description: bacterial SSU rRNA
Rfam family: Bacterial small subunit ribosomal RNA
Source: RNAcentral